GGCUAAGUCAUGGGCAAGUAGACGCAGCGAUGAUCUGAGGAUGAGGGGCCACGGGAAAGAAGAGAACCCUGAGCGUGGCUGGGGCAAAGCUCAAAGGGUUCCCUUCAAUCAAGACUAUGGACGGAGAGGAGUCAGAGCAAGUGCUUAUGGCAGACAGACAAUGCACAUUGCGUCUGCAGCACCCCCCUCCACUCCUCGUCCCCCACAAAUGACCAGGAGAAGUGAGUAUCAUGUUUUCGUUUUGUGAGUGUGCUUUAGACCUCAGGUGGUUUGCAGCCCAAGUUCACACAUUUUCCACUGGCCACUCCAGCAUCUGCCUUGUGACUCUUCGGCUUGCUCAGCUGGAAACUGUGAAAACCUUGCAGGACUCCCCGGUGACUCAGAGGGGAGGGGGGAAAGGACUCCGCGGAAUCAGCUGGGCCACUUUGUGCAAACUUCCUCCUUUCUGUACACAAUGCCACAAGGCAGACUUUGACCCUUGUAAAAGAACAGCAGGCCACACUCCCCACCCAGACCUGUCUAAAGACACACCCUGUGGAGACUAGACCCUGGUGUGCACUGUCUUGGAAAUGCCUUGUAGAGGAUGGGGGUGUGUGGGGCUCCCUUUACCCCCAUUUCUAACAAAGCCAGCAUUUGCUUUAACCUGCCUUUGGUGUGAAAGCAAUUUCUCUUAGGGUGACAACAGAGGGAAUCCACAGAAGAGAUGACAGUCACGUUAACAAGAAGGUUCAAGGAGGGAUCAUGCUAACGUGUGCAAAGUGAA
RNAcentral lists this long non-coding RNA (763 nucleotides) under Mus musculus (house mouse). RNAcentral describes it as "predicted gene 4065". The record is from RNAcentral. Lineage: Eukaryota; Metazoa; Chordata; Mammalia; Rodentia; Muridae.